Molecule: ribosomal RNA, 1398 nt
Filed under: Weissella confusa
Lineage: Bacteria; Bacillati; Bacillota; Bacilli; Lactobacillales; Lactobacillaceae
Description: bacterial SSU rRNA
Rfam family: Bacterial small subunit ribosomal RNA
Source: RNAcentral
CAUAUAUUUUAUGUGGGCGAACGGGUGAGUAACACGUGAAAGAGAGCACUACCUCUUAGCAGGGGAUAACAUUUGGAAACAGAUGCUAAUACCGUAUAACAAUGACAACCGCAUGGUUGGAAUUUAAAAGAUGGUUCUGCUAUCACUAAGAGAUGGUCCCGCGGUGCAUUAGCUAGUUGGUAAGGUAAUGGCUUACCAAGGCGAUGAUGCAUAGCCGAGUUGAGAGACUGAUCGGCCACAAUGGGACUGAGACACGGCCCAUACUCCUACGGGAGGCAGCAGUAGGGAAUCUUCCACAAUGGGCGAAAGCCUGAUGGAGCAACGCCGCGUGUGUGAUGAAGGGUUUCGGCUCGUAAAACACUGUUGUAAGAGAAGAAUGACAUUGAGAGUAACUGUUCAAUGUGUGACGGUAUCUUACCAGAAAGGAACGGCUAAAUACGUGCCAGCAGCCGCGGUAAUACGUAUGUUCCAAGCGUUAUCCGGGAUUUAUUGGGCGUAAAGCGAGCGCAGACGGUUAUUUAAGUCUGAAGUGAAAGCCCUCAGCUCAACUGAGGAAUUGCUUUGGAAACUGGAUGACUUGAGUGCAGUAGAGGAAAGUGGAACUCCAUGUGUAGCGGUGAAAUGCGUAGAUAUAUGGAAGAACACCAGUGGCGAAGGCGGCUUUCUGGACUGUAACUGACGUUGAGGCUCGAAAGUGUGGGUAGCAAACAGGAUUAGAUACCCUGGUAGUCCACACCGUAAACGAUGAGUGCUAGGUGUUUGAGGGUUUCCGCCCUUAAGUGCCGCAGCUAACGCAUUAAGCACUCCGCCUGGGGAGUACGACCGCAAGGUUGAAACUCAAAGGAAUUGACGGGGACCCGCACAAGCGGUGGAGCAUGUGGUUUAAUUCGAAGCAACGCGAAGAACCUUACAAGGUCUUGACAUCCCUUGACAACUCCAGAGAUGGAGCGUUCCCUUCGGGGACAAGGUGACAGGUGGUGCAUGGUUGUCGUCAGCCUCGUGUCGUGAGAAUGUUGGGUUAAGUCCCGCAACGAGCGCAACCCUUAUUACUAGUUGCCAGCAUUCAGUUGGGCACUCUAGUGAGACUGCCGGUGACAAACCGGAGGAAGGUGGGGAUGACGUCAAAUCAUCAUGCCCCUUAUGACCUGGGCUACACACGUGCUACAAUGGCGUAUACAACGAGUUGCCAACCCGCGAGGGUGAGCUAAUCUCUUAAAGUACGUCUCAGUUCGGAUUGUAGGCUGCAACUCGCCUACAUGAAGUCGGAAUCGCUAGUAAUCGCGGAUCAGCACGCCGCGGUGAAUACGUUCCCGGGUCUUGUACACACCGCCCGUCAGACCAUGAGAGUUUGUAACACCCAAAGCCGGUAGGGGUAACGUUUUUCAGCGCCUUGGUUCA